AUUGAACGCUGGCGGCAGGCCUAACACAUGCAAGUCGAACGGAGUGGCGGACGGGUGAGUAAUGCCUAGGACUCUGCCUGGUAGUGGGGGAUAACGUCCGGAAACGGGCGCUAAUACCGCAUACUAUCAGAUGAGCCUAGGUCGGAUUAGCUAGUUGGUGGGGUAAAGGCCUACCAAGGCGACGAUCCGUAACUGGUCUGAGCGGAUGCACAGACACACUGGAACUGACACACGGUCCAGACUCCUACGGGGGGCAGGAGUGGGGAAUAUUGGAAAAGGGGCGAAAGCGUGAUACAGCCAUGCCGCGUGUGUGAAGAAGGUCUUCGGUGUGUAAAGCACUUUAAGAUGGGAAACGUUACCAACAGAAUGCGCACCGGCUAACUGCGUGCCAGGCGCCGCGGAUAC
This 405-nucleotide ribosomal RNA is filed under the name uncultured bacterium. RNAcentral's name for it is "partial 16S ribosomal RNA". It matches the Rfam family "Bacterial small subunit ribosomal RNA", at positions 30 to 524 of the family's 1533-position model. The record is from RNAcentral.